CUUGACAUCCAGAGAACUUGGCAGAGAUGCCUUGGUGCCUUCGGGAACUCUGAGACAGGUGCUGCAUGGCUGUCGUCAGCUCGUGUUGUGAAAUGUUGGGUUAAGUCCGCAACGAGCGCAACCCCUAUCCUUUGUUGCCAGCGAUUCGGUCGGGAACUCAAAGGAGACUGCCGGUGAUAAACCGGAGGAAGGUGGGGAUGACGUCAAGUCAUCAUGGCCCUUACGAGUAGGGCUACACACGUGCUACAAUGGCGCAUACAAAGAGAAGCGACCUCGCGAGGGCAAGCGGACCUCAUAAAGUGCGUCGUAGUCCGGAUCGGAGUCUGCAACUCGACUCCGUGAAGUCGGAAUCGCUAGUAAUCGUAGAUCAGAAUGCUACGGUGAAUACGUUCCCGGGCCUUGUACACACCGCCCGUCACACCAUGGGAGUGGGUUGCAAAAGAAGUAGAUAGCUUAACCUUCGGGAGGGCGUUUACCACUUUGUGAUUCAUGACUGGGGUGAAGUCGUAACAAGGUAAGCGUAGCGAG
This 528-nucleotide ribosomal RNA is filed under the name uncultured bacterium. Its description in RNAcentral is "bacterial SSU rRNA". It matches the Rfam family "Bacterial small subunit ribosomal RNA", at positions 980 to 1509 of the family's 1533-position model. The record is from RNAcentral.